CCGAGUGCGAACCCCCCUCGUAAAAAAAGGGGGGUUACCUCCCGUCCUUUGCUGGGCAACCCCCCUCUAAUCGGAUGGGGGUUGUUUUCAGACCCUUCUGCUUCGGCGGGGUAACCUGCCGGAACAACCUCAAAAUAUUCUCAAUCAAAAACCGUUCAGUCCGAGAAAUUUUUGAAAAGCGAUA
This 184-nucleotide unclassified non-coding RNA is filed under the name uncultured fungus. RNAcentral describes it as "sequence contains ITS1". The record is from RNAcentral. Lineage: Eukaryota; Fungi.